UUGAUUAGAGUGUUUUGAUAAUGAUGCAUUGAUGGAAGUAAACACAUAAAUGACCUAAACCUAAUCAAAAGUCACUUCUAAAGUAGGAUUAGUUGAGCUAUGAAAAUCAAAGGUAGCUACACGUAUCUCACAACACGUUACAUAUGUCGAUACUAUCAUAAUAAUCAACCGUUGAUUAUUCUUCAACGUCUAAAAAAGCUUCCACAACUUGUAAUUUCUGCCAACAAAAGUCAUCGAAAUAAGUCCCCAACUUUUUUAUCAAUCUUGACCAAGAAUUGGCGUCCGUAAGAAAACUUAAUUCCUUUAUUCAAGCUGAUUCUACAAGUCUGACCGCAAUCAUCCAAAACAACGAACGUCAAGGUCUACAUUGGAUAUGAGUUUCACUUGAGCUUUAACAUAGCAAGAGAAAUUCACACUUGGGACUCUGAUUUUACUGAUCAAUUUUGAAACUCUCAAACGAUGCAGAUCAUUAUCUUCAUAGUUCAUACCAAGAAAAUCAAAAUGUAGCUGGAAAGUGAAAUUGAACCACGCACUGGUUGAACAAAUUUCGAAACUUAGUGCCGAUUGUGUAAUUUCUAAU
This 580-nucleotide unclassified non-coding RNA is filed under the name Arabidopsis thaliana (thale cress). The record is from RNAcentral. Lineage: Eukaryota; Viridiplantae; Streptophyta; Magnoliopsida; Brassicales; Brassicaceae.